GUUAUUUGUAAUUUCAGUACAUUAUUAUUUCAGUUCGAUACAUUUAUCAUGUUCUUUUACAUAACACAACACAUAAAGAGAAAAUCCCGGAUAAUCAUAGGUCUUUUAUGUUCUUUUGGAAUGUCAACCAAAGAUGAAGAAACGGAUCUUCCAUCCUUGUAUUGGAUACCAAAACUACAUAAGUGUCCUUCAUAAAAGAGAAUGACCAACGUAUAUACAAGCAUUGUCUUAGGGAGGAACAAAUCCUACUGUGUACAACUUUACUAUUCAAAUAAAACAUUUUCUGAAACUUACAUAAUCAAACUGCUUGUUUUUUUUUU
Molecule: long non-coding RNA, 320 nt
Filed under: Mytilus galloprovincialis (Mediterranean mussel)
Lineage: Eukaryota; Metazoa; Mollusca; Bivalvia; Mytilida; Mytilidae
Source: RNAcentral